GGCCCUCAAACAGGUCACAUUCUGAGGAACUGAGACUGAGGGCCACAGCAUAGCAAGUUUGGAGACACAGUCCACUCAGAGCAGCACAUAAUUCACUGGUGAAGCAGAAAUACCUUGGAAGGGAGGACAUGGAAGUCACAUGCAGGCUUCGUAAGGAACUGACCCCUCCAUAAAGGUGAGCCUAUUUAUGCUCUGCGCUGCAGGCUCACUGUGUGAACUCUCAUGCCUGCUUUGGAGCUUUUCCUGGGACCACUAGAUUCUUUCACCAACUAAAGGGGAAGUUGAGCACAGACAAGAGCAGUCUCUAGCUAUGAUGGCAAAAAGAAAGGAUGCAAGGAGAUUUAAGGCAAACCCAAAGCAAAUAUCCAUAAGCUGAUGCUUGAUGGAGAGAACUUUUGGAAAGGCCAAGCCAAG
This 414-nucleotide long non-coding RNA is filed under the name Heterocephalus glaber (naked mole-rat). RNAcentral's name for it is "lncRNA (ENSHGLG00000050542.1)". The record is from RNAcentral. Lineage: Eukaryota; Metazoa; Chordata; Mammalia; Rodentia; Bathyergidae.